Molecule: RNA transcript, 2852 nt
Organism: Micropterus salmoides (largemouth bass)
Lineage: Eukaryota; Metazoa; Chordata; Actinopteri; Centrarchiformes; Centrarchidae
Gene: ascc1
Gene name: activating signal cointegrator 1 complex subunit 1
Exons: 10
Source: RefSeq, a predicted model, not a curated record
AAAGCGAGAGCAUUCGUACCACUGAUUUUAAAGCACUGGGGAUGGAUCACCUUUCACGGAGUGGUCGUUUUCUUCCGUUUGUAGAUCUACCAAACAAAAAGCGGCCACUGUGUGUCGUAAACCAAUGAAACCGAUGUGUGAACGUCAGCUAACUAGUACGUUGUGAGCAACUAGCUAGCUAAAUAAGUUUUUAAAAAGCUUCAUGAGCUAAUUUACACCCUUCUUCGUGUAGCUAAAUUAUCAGGGAGCUAUCCAGAUAUUUAUUUUUGGUGUUAGGUUAGCUUAGGGGUAGCUAACGUAAGCUAGCUUAAUUUACAUUAUGGAGGUUUUACGUCCAGCUCUUAUCAACAUAAAUGGGAGAAUAUACCGAAGGAAUGUCAUUAAGGAGGAACAUUAUGAGGAAGAAGAAGAUUUCUCUUACAUGGGACCACCUGACAGUGAAGACCUUGCAGCUGAUGAAACCUGUGAUACCCACUUCAUUGAACAGAUUGAUAAGGGAUACCGCUGUGCCAUUGACGUCCCAAGUGUUCUUUACAAAUACAUCAUUGGGAAAAAAGGAGAGACACGCAGACGUCUGGAGUAUGACACAAAGACAUCUAUCAGCAUCCCAAAACAAGGAGUGGAAGGACAGAUAGUUAUCACAGGUUCCCAUAAAGCUGCAGUCACAUCUGCAGUCACACGAGUUGAGGUCCUUGUUGAAAGUUUCCGGAAAAAGCAGCCUUUCACGCACUUCCUGUCAUUUCCUCUGAAUGAUGCAAAAGUUCAAGAAGGAUUCCUGAGAUUUAAAGAUGAGGUUUUGCAGCAGUGUUCACAGGAUCAUGGAGUAGAGGUAAGCAUCUUUCAGAACCCUGCAAAGCUUCACCUGACAAUCGGUACCAUGGCUCUGUUAAAUGACAUGGAAGUGAGAAAAGCAUGUGCACACCUCCAAGAGUGUCAACACUUCAUCAGGGACAUCACAGAAGGAAAACCACUGCCGUUGCAGGUGACAGGUAUAGAGUACAUGAAUGAUGACCCAGCAAUGGUGGACGUCUUGUAUGCCAAAGUCAACGUGAAAGACAAAUCGGACAAGUUACAGAUGAUUGCGGACCGGCUGGUAGAGCACUUUGUCUCAGCAGGGCUAAUGCUCAGAGAGUGGGACAGAGUUAAGCUGCACGGAACUGUGAUGAACACUCUGUUCAGAAAGGACUCCACAGUUGAAGACACAGGCGGCCCAGGAAGACAAAUGAAUGAAAGAGAGGCUUUUGAUGCCAGAAACAUAUUAAAGAAAUUUAGUGCUCAUUGUUUCGGGGAGUUUGAGCUGAAUACCGCCCUGUUGUCCCAGAGAUAUUCGACAGACUGUACGGGCUACUACACCUCUGCAGGGAGCAUCAGCUUCUCAUGAGCAUCAACAGGGCCGAACAGAUUCUGAGGUGGGAAAUGAGUAAUGAAGAAGGACAUGAUUAAGGAUGCGCUGGGCAGAUGUCCUCAGUAGCGAUGGGACUGAAAACACAUGCGAAGGAACAUACAUCAUCCACAGACAGACUGAGACGCUGACGACAUGUUUAAUUUGUCAACAGAUUUUAAUAUAAGAUGUUUGGACUACAUGUUUAUUUAAAUGGCCAUAUGUGUGUUUUGUUGCAUAAAUCAGGAACAUAUUGGACUAGGGCUCCAAUGAACAAUUGGGUUUUAGUCAGUCAAUUAGUGUAUUAUUUUAUCAAUUAAUUGAACAAACGUGUAGUCUAUAAAAAUUCAGAAAGAUGGGGAAAGUGGGAAAAAUUAGGAACAUUUAAGAUUCAUAAUUUAGCAGAUAUAAGCAGCAGAGUCCAAGAUGGCAUUUUUAAAAUCAGUUCAACUAACAGACCAAAACAGAGAGCAAGUUUUUGUGGUUUUCUGGUUGAUAAAUAAACUGUUGGUAAUGAUUUGAAUUGACUCAACAAAAUAAUGUUGCUGUGCGUGUCUGUGUGGGUGAGCUUGCUUACGCACUGCCUGACAUGCAUAUUUUUUUAUAUUCCUGCCACAUCUCUCAACCUAAUUAGUCAGCUCUGCACUUCCUGCUGUGAGAACUUCCAACGUGACCCCUGAGAUUUCGAGACUAGCAUGUGUCCCUCUCAAUAAGCCGGAAUAAACGAGAUGAAAAUUUUAUGAAGAUGAUAAUGCAAAUUUGUGUUGCCGUGGACCUGUUUCCUCUCUGGAUGAGCAUCCUUAUUUUCUGAGGAGAGAUCUGAGGAGACACAGGUUUUAAUUAAAGUUUAGUUUAGAUGUCUUUGCGGGCAUGUGUGCAUUGAUGAGUCACAUAGGCUGUAUGUUCAAAAAGCUGGUCUGCUACACCCACAGAAAACCAGUUAGUAUUUUCCAAUUAACUUUUUUUCCCUCUGUAGAAAGAAAAAGCUGUCAUUUUAAGAGAAGCGAAAGCCAAGCAACCACUUAAUUGACCCUGUAACACUCUAAGAACUUACACUGAACCUUUUAGUAAUGAGAAUUCAUAUCAUGUUUGGUAACUGAAGUCUGGUGUUAUCUCUAAGUAUAGUUUAGGCCUCUAUCCAAGGCCUCUAUUGCAUUUUUAAUUUCAUGCCAGUUUUCUAAGUAGCCUUUUAUAUUUUUUAAGGCUGUUUUGAAAUAGGUCUAACAUGAUCAAUGUCAAACUUUUUUUUCUUUUAGCACAUUUUCAUAUUCAGAACCACACUAUGCAAUUUUUCAUAGUGUAAUUAAAAAUUAAGCUUUCAUUCAAGGGCUGGCAUUAACAUCUGCUCGGGGGGGAAAAAGAUGAUAUUUGACGGACGUGACCUUUUGAUACAAUAGAUAUGUUUGAUUUGCAUACUCCAACUAAUAACACACAUGAAAUUGAUUAAAUGCCUGGUUACUUUCUAAGGUCA